Molecule: long non-coding RNA, 776 nt
Organism: Ictalurus punctatus (channel catfish)
Lineage: Eukaryota; Metazoa; Chordata; Actinopteri; Siluriformes; Ictaluridae
Exons: 3
Source: RefSeq, a predicted model, not a curated record
UUACUAAUCCUGUUUAGAACUUGGUAAGAAGACUUCACAACUCUGAGGACAAUACAAAGAAAUUUUGUCCUGAGAAGUAUGGAAUAUAGUUUCAAUUACAUAUUUCUUUUUGUCAAUUUCUUCUCUAAUAUUAUUCUUUAUAUGCACAGAUUUAACUCUGCAAACAACAUUUCAGUUGUGACCUUCCUUCCAAUUGUGACCAGCGAUGCAGCCCCAGAUGUCAUCAAAGAUUUCUGCCUUACCCUUGGAUUUGUUGUUAUUAAAUCUGCCAAACCUACACUUGCUUCCGUCUAUUUCGUGACAAUACACACCACUGGCAGAUAUUGCAACUUUCAGCCAAAGUGGAUAGCUUUAAGAUUUGCGAUCUAUGUUAGUCCAAGGACAAGAAAAGGAAAUCUGGAGUGGAGUGACUGUUGAUCUCAUGAAUGAUGAGGAAGAUGGGAUGCUGGAUGGAAGGCCAGUGUGGCUUGUUAAGCCACCAUGCCGCAGUGCAAUUAUUGAUGAUCUAUGUAGAAAAUUGCAGAGGCGACUAUGAUCCAAAGUACCUCAGCAACCACAAUACUCGUCUAUACACUGGUCGACGGUUAUCUCAGAAGUUUUGGCGUGGUGCUGGGGUCAUGGAAGAUGUGGGACGUGCUUCUCUUGAGCAUACAUCUAGCACAUAUGUUUCUCUGUAAGUGGAUGACUCCUUUGAGGGGAUAUUUACAUCUUUAUCAUUGUUUUUACAUGUAACACUUUUGUACAGUUCACAGGUGAUACUUAUGAUGAUUGUUACA